RNAcentral lists this ribosomal RNA (228 nucleotides) under uncultured Bacteroidaceae bacterium. Its description in RNAcentral is "partial 16S ribosomal RNA". It matches the Rfam family "Bacterial small subunit ribosomal RNA", at positions 383 to 607 of the family's 1533-position model. Lineage: Bacteria; Pseudomonadati; Bacteroidota; Bacteroidia; Bacteroidales; Bacteroidaceae. The record is from RNAcentral.
CUGAACCAGCCAAGUAGCGUGAAGGAGGGACUGCCCUAUGGGGUGUAAACUUCUUUUGUACGGGAAUGAAGUGAGGGACGUGUGCGUUUUUGUAUGGACCGUAUGAAUAAGGAUUGGCUAACUCCGAGCCAGCAGCCGCGGUAAUACGGAGGAUCCGAGCGUUAUCCGGAUUUAUUGGGUUUAAAGGGAGCGUAGGCGGACGCUUAAGUCAGUUGUGAAAGUUUGCGG